UACGGAGGAUCCGAGCGUUAUCCGGAUUUAUUGGGUUUAAAGGGUGCGUAGGCGGCCGAGUAAGUCAGCGGUGAAAUUUUGCAGCUUAACUGUAACAGUGCCGUUGAUACUGCAUGGCUAGGAUUUGGUUGCUGUGGGUGGAAUGUGUGGUGUAGCGGUGAAAUGCUUAGAUAUCACACAGAAUAUCAAUUGCGAAGGCAGCUCACAAAGCCAAGAUUGACGCUGAGGCACGAAAGUGUGGGGAGUCAAACA
RNAcentral lists this ribosomal RNA (252 nucleotides) under uncultured prokaryote. Its description in RNAcentral is "partial 16S ribosomal RNA". It matches the Rfam family "Bacterial small subunit ribosomal RNA", at positions 524 to 775 of the family's 1533-position model. The record is from RNAcentral.